UACGUAGGUGGCAAGCGUUGUUCGGAAUUAUUGGGCGUAAAGGGCGCGUAGGCGGGAUGGCAAGUCAGUCGUGAAAUUCCCGGGCUCAACCUGGGAAUUGCAUUCGAGACUGAAUAGCUAGGGUACGGUAGAGGGAAGUGGAAUUUCCGGUGUAGCGGUGAAAUGCGUAGAUAUCGGAAGGAACAUCAGUGGCGAAAGCGAGUCUCUGGACGACUCCUGACACUGAGGCACGAAAGCUGGGGGAGCAAACAGG
RNAcentral lists this ribosomal RNA (253 nucleotides) under uncultured bacterium. RNAcentral describes it as "partial 16S ribosomal RNA". It matches the Rfam family "Bacterial small subunit ribosomal RNA", at positions 524 to 776 of the family's 1533-position model. The record is from RNAcentral.